RNAcentral lists this long non-coding RNA (367 nucleotides) under Arabidopsis thaliana (thale cress). RNAcentral's name for it is "long non-coding RNA (ATHA_LNC000085)". Lineage: Eukaryota; Viridiplantae; Streptophyta; Magnoliopsida; Brassicales; Brassicaceae. The record is from RNAcentral.
GACCACAAUCGUGCAAAAUUGCUUUUAUCUUUUGUCAAAAAGUUAAGUAAUUAAAAUGCUUACCAACGGUGGCGGAGUGGAAAGUGGUGCUACCGUCUACAACGUUUCGACUUCCGGUGAUAAUAGUUCUCGUCCGACCAUCUCCCAUAAACAUUAUAUUCUUUUUCUUCUUAGCAACCUCCACAUUCUCUCUGUAAACUCCGGCUUUUAUAUGUAUCACAUACCUCUUAUUACUAUUUUCAGGGGCCGCGGCAACCGCAGCAGCCACAGUUUUAAAUGUACCGCUACCGUCAGCUGCCACGGUGGCGUCAGCUUUCACACCUGAACCCUGAAGAAGCCUCCUAUCUCCAGCGGAUAACCAAGUUGG